GCCUUCUUAGCUUAGUUGGUAGAGCACCCGCUUAGUAAGCGGGAGGUCGUCGUUCA
Molecule: transfer RNA, 56 nt
Filed under: Perkinsus marinus ATCC 50983
Lineage: Eukaryota; Perkinsozoa; Perkinsida; Perkinsidae
Rfam family: tRNA
About the family: Transfer RNA (tRNA) molecules are approximately 80 nucleotides in length. Their secondary structure includes four short double-helical elements and three loops (D, anti-codon, and T loops).
Source: Rfam by way of RNAcentral